CUCUGGUAUUGAUUGGUGCUUGCAUCAUGAUUUACAUUUGAGUGAGUGGCGAACUGGUGAGUAACACGUGGGAAACCUGCCCAGAAGCGGGGGAUAACACCUGGAAACAGAUGCUAAUACCGCAUAACAACUUGGACCGCAUGGUCCGAGUUUGAAAGAUGGCUUCGGCUAUCACUUUUGGAUGGUCCCGCGGCGUAUUAGCUAGAUGGUGAGGUAACGGCUCACCAUGGCAAUGAUACGUAGCCGACCUGAGAGGGUAAUCGGCCACAUUGGGACUGAGACACGGCCCAAACUCCUACGGGAGGCAGCAGUAGGGAAUCUUCCACAAUGGACGAAAGUCUGAUGGAGCAACGCCGCGUGAGUGAAGAAGGGUUUCGGCUCGUAAAACUCUGUUGUUAAAGAAGAACAUAUCUGAGAGUAACUGUUCAGGUAUUGACGGUAUUUAACCAGAAAGCCACGGCUAACUACGUGCCAGCAGCCGCGGUAAUACGUAGGUGGCAAGCGUUGUCCGGAUUUAUUGGGCGUAAAGCGAGCGCAGGCGGUUUUUUAAGUCUGAUGUGAAAGCCUUCGGCUCAACCGAAGAAGUGCAUCGGAAACUGGGAAACUUGAGUGCAGAAGAGGACAGUGGAACUCCAUGUGUAGCGGUGAAAUGCGUAGAUAUAUGGAAGAACACCAGUGGCGAAGGCGGCUGUCUGGUCUGUAACUGACGCUGAGGCUCGAAAGUAUGGGUAGCAAACAGGAUUAGAUACCCUGGUAGUCCAUACCGUAAACGAUGAAUGCUAAGUGUUGGAGGGUUUCCGCCCUUCAGUGCUGCAGCUAACGCAUUAAGCAUUCCGCCUGGGGAGUACGGCCGCAAGGCUGAAACUCAAAGGAAUUGACGGGGGCCCGCACAAGCGGUGGAGCAUGUGGUUUAAUUCGAAGCUACGCGAAGAACCUUACCAGGUCUUGACAUACUAUGCAAAUCUAAGAGAUUAGACGUUCCC
This 983-nucleotide ribosomal RNA is filed under the name Lactiplantibacillus plantarum. RNAcentral describes it as "bacterial SSU rRNA". It matches the Rfam family "Bacterial small subunit ribosomal RNA", at positions 70 to 1018 of the family's 1533-position model. Lineage: Bacteria; Bacillati; Bacillota; Bacilli; Lactobacillales; Lactobacillaceae. The record is from RNAcentral.